Molecule: ribosomal RNA, 253 nt
Filed under: uncultured bacterium
Lineage: Bacteria
Description: partial 16S ribosomal RNA
Rfam family: Bacterial small subunit ribosomal RNA
Source: RNAcentral
UACGGGGGGAGCAAGCGUUGUCCGGAUUUACUGGGCGUAAAGAGCGCGCAGGCGGCUGGUCAAGUCCGAUGUGAAAGCUCCCGGCUUAACUGGGAAAUUGCAUCGGAAACUGAUCGGCUGGAAGGUGGGAGAGGGUAGCGGAAUUCCCGGUGUAGUGGUGAAAUGCGCAGAUAUCAGGAGGAACACCGGUGGCGAAGGCGGGUCUCUGGGCCGAUACUGACGCUGAGGAGCGAAAGCGUGGGGAGCGAACAGG